This 408-nucleotide ribosomal RNA is filed under the name uncultured bacterium. Its description in RNAcentral is "bacterial SSU rRNA". It matches the Rfam family "Bacterial small subunit ribosomal RNA", at positions 355 to 775 of the family's 1533-position model. The record is from RNAcentral.
UGGGGAAUAUUGCACAAUGGGCGAAAGCCUGAUGCAGCGACGCCGCGUGAGGGAUGACGGCCUUCGGGUUGUAAACCUCUUUCGCUCGGGACGAAGGGUAACUGACGGUACCGGGAGAAGAAGCACCGGCUGACUACGUGCCAGCAGCCGCGGUAAUACGUAGGGUGCGAGCGUUGUCCGGAAUUAUUGGGCGUAAAGAGCUCGUAGGCGGUUUGUCGCGUCGACUGUGAAAACCUGGGGCUUAACUCUGGGCCUGCAGUCGAUACGGGCAGACUUGAGUUCGGUAGGGGAGACUGGAAUUCCUGGUGUAGCGGUGAAAUGCGCAGAUAUCAGGAGGAACACCGGUGGCGAAGGCGGGUCUCUGGGCCGAUACUGACGCUGAGGAGCGAAAGCGUGGGGAGCGAACAG